UACGGAGGGUGCGAGCGUUGUCCGGAAUCACUGGGCGUAAAGGGCGCGUAGGCGGCCGAUUAAGUCGGGGGUGAAAGCCUGUGGCUCAACCACAGAAUUGCCUUCGAUACUGGUUGGCUUGAGACCGGAAGAGGACAGCGGAACUGCGAGUGUAGAGGUGAAAUUCGUAGAUAUUCGCAAGAACACCAGUGGCGAAGGCGGCUGUCUGGUCCGGUUCUGACGCUGAGGCGCGAAAGCGUGGGGAGCAAACAGG
RNAcentral lists this ribosomal RNA (253 nucleotides) under uncultured bacterium. RNAcentral describes it as "partial 16S ribosomal RNA". It matches the Rfam family "Bacterial small subunit ribosomal RNA", at positions 524 to 776 of the family's 1533-position model. The record is from RNAcentral.